UACGUAGGGCGCAAGCGUUGUCCGGAAUUAUUGGGCGUAAAGAGCUCGUAGGCGGCUUGUCACGUCGGGUGUGAAAGCCCGGGGCUUAACCCCGGGUCUGCAUUCGAUACGGGCUAGCUAGAGUGUGGUAGGGGAGAUCGGAAUUCCUGGUGUAGCGGUGAAAUGCGCAGAUAUCAGGAGGAACACCGGUGGCGAAGGCGGAUCUCUGGGCCAUUACUGACGCUGAGGAGCGGAAGCGUGGGGAGCGAACAGG
RNAcentral lists this ribosomal RNA (253 nucleotides) under uncultured bacterium. RNAcentral's name for it is "partial 16S ribosomal RNA". It matches the Rfam family "Bacterial small subunit ribosomal RNA", at positions 524 to 776 of the family's 1533-position model. The record is from RNAcentral.